RNAcentral lists this long non-coding RNA (9109 nucleotides) under Mytilus galloprovincialis (Mediterranean mussel). Lineage: Eukaryota; Metazoa; Mollusca; Bivalvia; Mytilida; Mytilidae. The record is from RNAcentral.
CAAAGCUGUAAUAAGGUAAGUGAACACUUGAUGCUGUUUUGACUUUAUUCAUAUAUAUAAUUAGAUAUUAUUUACUUAUCAAUCGAAUGUAUGCAGUAAUUCAAACAUGUUGAUACCAUUGUUAAUGUUUAUUCGUGAUAUAAUUUAUAUAAAAAAGACAUACUCCUUCAUGCUAGGACAUUAUAAUUGCAUAUCGUUAGAAUAGUUUCCUCCCGGGGAUAUUUAGAUAUAAUCCGUUAAACUGACAAUAGUGGAGCUUACCAAUUAUGCAGUUGUUUUUUGACGCAUAUUCCGCAUCUAAAAUGUCUAUUAUCACUGAAUUAGUUUACAUUUUUGUUUAGCGGCCAGCUGAAGCACAUCUCGGGGUGCAGGAUUUUCUCGAUGUAUUGCAGACCCGUUUGUGGUCUUUGUCUGUUGUCUGCUCUUUGGUCGGUUUGUUGUCUCUUUGACACAUUCCCCAUUUCUAUUCUCAAUUUUAAUAGAUUUAAGCUUAUAAAAUCAAAUUUGAUAAUCCAUCAAAAUAAAAUAAACAAUAAAAAUAUCUAUUUCUAUUUUUAAAAUUCUUACACUCAUUAUGUCAGCCAUCAACAUUUAAACUCGAGUCUGUAAUUGAAAGGCUGUUGUUGGUUGCUGUCUUUCAUGUUUGUUUUUGUUAAUUUGUUCUUCUCAUAAAUUAGGGAGUUUUUUCCUCUGAAUGUUAUUCACACAUUGUUUUUUUCGGGACUUUUAUAAAUGACUCUAUGAUAUGGCAUUAGUUAAUACAUAUUAGUCUUAAACGGACAUUUGUACCAUAACGUCCUUUCUGAACACUGCCUGAUCCAGUCAUGUGAAUGUCUUUUUUCAACUUUUUUUAUUUUUUCAGUGGGGUAAUAAGAAAAUUAGCUUUCAUCAAUUCAGUACUUUUUGGUAGCUUUUCAGACAUUUCGGUAUGAUGUUAAUGUUAACAGUUGACUACCAAAUACAGAACAGUCUGAACAAAGACUUAGCAAAUCUGGACUUACUGUACGAGAAUUGUCUAAAUAGUACUGCAAAAAUUCUGAAAAUUUACCUAAAGACUGAAGGUUACUCAAUGAUUUAUUUUCUUUUAAAAGCUGUACAAGUUACUAAAAUGGUGUUUUCAAGUGUCGAUUUAUAGAUAUUGUGAGGACUACAGCGACUAAUACCAGCGUAAAUCCACUUAACUUAGACUUCUGUGGAUAAUCCGCUUAGAAAUAAUGUCAAUAAAGCAUAGACAUUUUAAUUUUAGUGCAAUGUAGGCUGAAUUAUCUACAACUGUUAAAUUCAAGGAAAUAUUUUACGACUCUUUUUUGUAUGCAACCGGAUGUGACGAACUAUGAUUCGAUGGCAAUAAAGCUGUAUCACACCUUACAGUAAAGCUGUUUAUAAAGCCUCAUAAUGUUUAUGCGAUACAAGUAAACCUAUUGACUCUUUGAAUCAACCUAUUUUGAAAGGAUUCUUUUUUCUUUCUGUAGAGAGAUCUUAAAUUAUCGUUUUAUUGGUACUACAAUUUGAGAUUGUUUUAUUAUGAAUUGCUAUUGUUUUAUAGGUAUUAACUCAUAUGGUCCUACAUUAUACCAAUAGUGUGUGAUUAUAUUUUGGCAUUGCAGAAGUUCAUGCUUUUAGUUGACUUUUAUAUACUGAAUCUGUUGAACAUGUUUUAAGUGUUAAAUAAGUCUAGGAGGACCAGAUUUAUUAAUUUAUUGAAAAUGGCUUUUGAACUGGUUUUAAGUAACUGUGAGUACUCUGAGACCGGUAUUUGUGUUGCAUUGUCCUAAUAUUAGUUGUUGGUUGGUAAUUAUUGCCAAUCUGUUUGGUGAUGUUAUUUUGAACUGAAGUUUACAGCUAACUAUUAAGCGUUGUGACACAACUGCUCGAAGGUUAAAGCUAUGAUUGAGCGCCAAUUGACAGGUUAAGCACCGCCACAUUCUUCAUGUGCUAAUCGGAAAUCGGGAGAAAGUAAUUCUUUGGUGCUACGUUGUAUACAUAUAACUUUUAUAACUGACUAUAUGGACGAAAUGUGCUUACAGUUGACCUUUAUUUGCUUCAUCCAUGUCAUUUGGAUUCUGUUGGAUAGUUAUGUCUUUGAGAAACAUAUCAAAAUAAAUUCAUCAUAGAUACAUGUACAUGUACAAGGAUUCAAGUUUUAUAUUUGCGCCAGACGCGUUUUCUCUACAAAAGACUACUCAAUGCAAUGACGUUCGAAUAAAAGAAUGGAAAGGCCACAUAUAGAACGAAGUUUAAGAGCAUCAAGGGGAAAAAAAUCCUUAAAGUUUUGCCAAAUUCAGCUACGGUCAUCUAUUUCUGAGGUAGAAAAGCCUUUGUAUUUCAAAAUUUCGAAGUUUUGUAAACAGGUUACGUACAAGUAUAACAAUACCAAUGACAAUCAAUGUCAACACACCUGUGCUGUCUACUACCUUAAAUUUAUCUAUUUUACAAAUAUCAAAUCUAUCAAAUUAAUAUCGAUAUGAAAUUUUGCACAACAAAUAUUAUUCGAUUUUGCUGUUUGUCGAUCUCUGUGAUAGGAACAAUGCGUUUAAUACAAACACCCUUACAUAAACAGCAAAGAUGAAAUUAAUAUUGAAAAGAUAUAUAUAUAUAGACAAUAGUAGUAUACAACUGUUCAAAAGUCACAAAUCGAUAGAGAGAACAUAAACUAAAACUGAGGGAAAUACAUCAACUAUAAGAGGAAAAUAACAAAACAACAGAAACACUGAAGUGCAACAAAACAAACGACAAUGCAACAUAGAAACGAGCUAUUAAUUAACAACUGUCAUAUUCCUGACUUGAUACAGGAAAUUUUAAGACAAUUGGUGGGUUGAACAUGAUUUUGUGGCUAGCCAAACCUCGCGCUUUUUGGCUAUGGUAAAUAUGCCGCUACAAUAACAACAUUACAUACAAUGCAAAUAAAUGCAAGAACACUCAUGACAGGGAAAUACAUAAAUAGAUAAUAUAAUAUUACAUUUCAAUAUAAAAUUGAAAACAUGUCGGAAAAACAUUGUUACAGACACACCUUCUUUUCAAAUAAUAAGGUUUCUAUAUUGAUGAUUUUCUCUCACUAAAUAAUUCUAAGUUUGAUGACUAUGUCAAUCAAACUUUAGAUAAAGGAUACAACAGAUACAGUUAAGUUUACCUCAUAUCUUUAAGUUAACUUGCAUCUUCAAAAUGACAAUAAGGGUCGGUUGAAAUGAAAGCUUUACGACAAAAGAGAUGAUUUUAGUUUCACAAUUGUGAACUUUCUUUUUCUAUGUAGCAACAUUUCAUCAGCGACUAAAUAUUUGUCUCGCAGUUGAUACAGUAUUCAAGGACUGGUAUUUCUUAUCAUGAUUUCCCUGAUAGGUUGUUGCAGCACACAAUAAUUGAAUUAAACAGAGCGUUCAAAGUGGUUAAGUUGGAAUAAUUCAUUCGAAAAAAUUACGGACGCCAUCACGAGCAACUACAAUCCCGUCCCCUCUUCCCCGAAUACUAUUACCGAAUUAAAACUAAAUUCAGGUUACAUAGAUUAGUUAUAUAAGAUGUGUAUUCGAUUCAUUUGUUAUUCGUCAGCUGAAUUCUAUGUAAACAGUUUGAAGGCCAAAAAUAAUUACGUAAACAGUGUUGAUAAUUCCAAGUUAAACCAAAUAUUACUCAGACUAUAUGUGCAUGGGAUAGAACAACGUAGUGUUUAGAAUGCGUUUGGUGUGUUUUAAAAAUAGAAUUUUAGAAUAUGUCUUCAUCAAUGAUAUGUUACGUCAACACAGGAGCUCCAACUUGGUUGCUUAAAUGGUCCACCAGCAGAAGUGUCGAAACAGUAGUUGAAAACGUUUUAGAAAGAAACAAGGCUUAUAAUUAAGCAUUGUAUAUAACAUAGUAUUAGAAUGAUUUGUGAUGUUCCAUUUAAUUAAUUUACUGUGUUGAAAGUGGUUUGUACAUGUAUAAUUGUUACAAUUACCAUGAUCGUGCAAAGUAAAAUAUAUUUUUUAUAACCGUAAUCCUUAUAUUUUAGGAACUCUUCAACAUGAAUAAUACAGCCCUACUGUUUGUUCUAAUUGUUUUUGCAGUAGGUAAGAACAUAUCUUUCUAAAAAAAGAUUCAAUAUGCUAUAUACCUUCGGUGCUUACUUAACUUGACCUUAAACAAAAGGAAAACAUCAUGCCAUUCGUGUUUAGCGGUAUUAACAAUAACACAAGCAGAGCGUGAAGCUCUACAUAACAGCAACACAUCGAUACACAAAUUAACUCGUACAUUAAUAUAACUAUAAAAUUAUACAAUGUGUCUGAAACUGCUGAUUUAUAUUUCUGUAUUAUGUAGAAUUGUCAUACAGAUAAAAUAUAACUUAUGGGAGGACUACGUCUUUCACUUAUAAAUGUUUAGUUAUUGAAAGCGUUUCAUCCCAAAGCUGACUGUACGAUUUAUCACGACUAUUGGCUACGUUAAAUGAAAAACAUUAUCUGCUGGUUUUCGACGUAUAUUUGAAUGAAUCUUACAUGUUGAUGACAAGGGCUUGCAGUACAAAUUAUCUUCAUAUCAUUUAAUCGUUUCCUUAUGUAGAAAAUAAUAGAUGAAACGUGUUUGUAUAGCGUAUAAUCGCUUUGUUAUCAAGAGACAACUAGGACAUACAAUCCAAUAAUCUUCUUAUUUUCUUAAAAAAAAAAAAAAUACCAUGAUCAUUGUUGUUUUUUGAUACAUUCUUGUAUGAUUGAAAUUUCGAACGCCUGUUUAAUUAUUUCAUUUAUAACUAUGUUACUAAUAUGCAUCCCUUACACGAAAAUCAAAGUUUCCUUAGAUUUCAUAUGAUUUAUGAAUUGUUUUUAAUUUUCAUUUGCAUUCUUUUGUCAUAAAAAUUUAAAAACAUGCGUGGAAAUGGACCUUGUGGCAGAUACACUUUGUCAAAAGCAUAUAUUGGUAUUUCUUUGGAAUAUUUAUUUCAAAAAAAAGUCUGGUGUUUUCGUCUCAUUUGUUCGUUGACUGUCAUCACAGUUUCUGCGUUCAAAUGAACGUGAACAUAAUUUUGUAGAACUUUCUGUAUAUUUAUUGGCUAUGGAUUUACACAUUAGAACUGUAAAACGAUUGCAUGUUCCAAUAAAUCCUUUGUAAUUCUUUGUUAUUGUUCUGCAAAUUCUACCGCGAAUUAAUUUUAUUGCAAAAAUUGUCCGUAUUCUAAAUAAUUAAGAGGGCACCACGGUUAGAACAAGUUGAACCGUGUGAUGCUGCACUAACUAACUUCGUAUUACAAUUACUAAUAAACAUUUUACUAUAUAGUUUCUUUUUAUAGUAUCUACAAUUAUCUUCUUGUGUUACGAUUUUAAUUAGAAAUCAAGAAAAUAAAAUUAAAUCAAUUUGAAAUGACAAUAUUAUAAAAAAAAACAAAUAUGUAAUAAUCGUGUUAAUUUUUGUUUUCGAAUAGGUGUAAAAGAGUCUAUUCAACAAGGGAAAUGUACCGUCGAAUUCUGUACAACCAUUAAAAACAGCGCUGGUUGUAAUGGAUGUUGUAUUGGUCUGGGAUGUAGUGGUGGUGGACAAUGCAGUGUUCUGAGUGGAGUAUCUGCCUGUCAUUGUGAUGGGUGUACUUGUAAGGCAUUGUAUUUAACUAAUUAAUACAUGACCACGCUAAACUUGACAAUUCUCAGUCGGAAAUUAAAUUUUUCAUUUCCAUUUUGACAUUUCUUUUACAAUUCAAUCAACAGGACUUUACCAUUAUCAAAUUCUGAUGAAUCGACGAAAACGAAUAACAAACAAAGACUAAUGGAAUCCCAGUAACUUUAAAAGUAGUGAGAACGAGUACAUCAACAGAAUAAGCGCUUUCUGCUAUGCAGGCAUUCCCGUCAUACACAUCCACACACAUUUAAAAUGUAUGAUACAGCCUGUACAAUGAUAGAUAAUAUCACUACUCUACUAUCUAAAAAUAUAAAGUUACGAACAUAUGUCGCUAGAGAGAUUUAAUACAUAUGUACCAUUAUGGGUCGUUAACUUGAGUGUGUCGAUUGCAGUUUAUAACUGUAUUGGACAAAUGAUAGACAUUAAACACGGAAUGAAUAGUUACAUUUAAAUGAUAAAAGAUUUAAUUAGGAGCACUAUGAGUUAGUUUUGUUUCCGAUUAUUUAAAAGCUCGAUAAUUUAACUUUAAGAAGAUUGAUACAUUAAUUUAUUAGAAUGUCCCAAUGGAACUCAAUUAAACACCAUUUGUUACACAAUAACACAGAUAUAAGAAGGAGCGGUAUGAGAGCCAAUGAGACAAGUAGCCAUUCAAGUCACAAUUUCAAAAAAGUAAAUCAUUACUAUGCUCACAAUGAACAGCUAGAUAUACAAGGGCCCCAAAAUAACAAGUGCAAAACCAUUCAAACAGAAAAACUAACGGUCUAAUCUAUAUAAAAACGAGAAACGAGAAAAAGUUAUGAACCACAUCAUGAAACGACAACUACUGAACAUCAUAUUCCUGAAUAAGAACAGGUGCAAAUAAUUGCAGCUGGUUUACAUUGAAAGACACACUAUAAAAUAUAAAUUGAAAUGGCUUAUCUCAAUCAAAAGAAAUAUUAACACAAGCAAACAUACACUUAACGAAAAAAUUUGAUCUAUGAUACCAUGUUAUUACAAAAUCAAUAAAAUAAGGUAUGAAUAAUUAAAGUAACAGUUUUAUACCUCUGUGAAAUGGUGACAUGUUAAACACUACAGAAAAACAACAAACCCUUGAACAAACGUCAUUUUGCUUUCAUAGCCAAACCAGUACCUCAUGAGACGUGUACAAGCACAUUCUGUUCUAAUGAAAAGCUCGAUGAUAACGGAUGCAAAGGUUGUUGUUUAAGUAUGCUAAAUGGUUGUGCCGCCUCCGGAUUUUGCCAAAAUUCACAUUGUAAAUGCAAUGUCUGUGCGGUAAGUAUUUUAUUAUCAGUAGUGACAUGUCUACAGAAGACAAUGCCUUUACCAUGUCAGGACAUGAACAUGUUUUAAACGAUAUAUUUGAUGCUACUGUCAUACAAGUGAGAGGAUAAGCUAGCUAUAAAAACAGGUUUAAUCCACCAUUGUCUACAUAGGAAAAUGCCGAUACCAAGUAAGGAAUAUGCCAGUUGUUAUCCAUUCGAUUGAUUUAUUAGUGCUUUUAACUUUGCCAUUAGCUAAAGAACUUUCAGUUUAAAAUUUUCCUUGGAGUUCGGUAUUUUUGUUAUUCUACUUUUUUCUAUGAAAUUUAAAAGAAUAUCGAAAGAUAUCUGAGGGACAGUCAAACUUAUAGAUAGAAAAUAAAUUAACAACGUCAUGGCUAACAAAGAAAAAGUCACAGACAAAUAAUGUGACUGUUCAUGACGUUAAAAUACUUUAAUCCCUGGGAUGUGUUUUAGUUGAUUUUAGUCUCUGAUGCAGGGUUUUUUUUUUAUUAUUAAUUGUUUUUGGCUUUUAACUAUCUGUCAGUAACUGCGAUACUCUCAAAUCGUAUUUUCUUGUUAAUUCGACCGUUGAUACUAUUUAAUGCUUUUUUGUAUUUUAAUUUAUAUGGAUCUUGUCUAAUACCAGCUUUGAUUAUUUGGAUAAAUGCUAAGUUCACUUCUUCUUACUAUAUUUGAAAUAAACUCAAGAUUUACCUGUAUUUUUAAAACCGUUUUUUUUUCUAAAAGUGAAUAUUUCGAAGGGUUAAUAUUCGCAGUAUGACUUGCCAUGGCUUUGUUUGACUUGUUUGUUGCUUUUUGGCCUUGAAUGGUUGUCCCUUAUAUUUUAUUAACUGUGCAUUUGCAUUCAGAUAUCGCAGAUCAAAUGUAUUCGUUUAUAGUGUAUUAAUGUACGUUUUUUUGAUUGCGUUAAGCCUGCAAAUUGAUAUUUUAUAGUGUGUUUUUCUAUGUUGUGAUUUUAAUAUGCUAUUGUUUCAGAAAAAGGGAGAAGGUUUGGAUCCUUUAAAACGUUUAAUCCCGCUGCAAAUGUUUGCACCUGUCCUAAAUCAGGAAUCUGGUGUACAGUAGUUGUCGUUUGUUUAUGUAAUUAUACGUGUUUCUCGUUUCUCGUUUUUAUUUUUAUUUUAUAUAGAUUAGACCGUUGGUUUUCCCGUUUGAAUGGUUUAACACUAGAAUUUGGGCCAGUAUAGCUUGUUGUUCGUGUGAGCCAAGGUUCCGUGUUGAAGACCGUACAUUGACCUAUAAUGGUUUACUUUUUUAAAUUGUUAUUUGGAUGUAGAGUUGUCUCAUUGGGACUCACACCACAUCUUCCUAUAUCUAAAUAAUAGUACACAAGACACAACAUAUAAAACUAAAGAUUAAGCAACACUAACCCCACCAAAAUUUAAGGUGAUCUCAGGUGCUCCGGAAGGGAAAGCAGAUCCGGCGCCACACGUGGCACUUGUCGUGUUGCUUAGUUUAUUACAAACCCAGUAAAUAAUCUAAUUAUGUAGCAAAAUUGGAAACGUGGAAUAUGUCAAAGUGACCACAACCCGACCAAAGAUAUGUUUAAACUUUUUUCAAUACUCCUUCAAUGUUAUCUUCACCAUCCUUUUUAACAAUUGCACGAAAUCAUAAAAAGUCCUCUUUAUAAUUCACUAUGAAAUAUUAGAUUUACAUUAUCAGAUGACCGUUAAUAUAAGGAUAUAUCAUCUUAUAGCAUAUAUAACUGUGCAUAUUGAAGAAUUACUGCUAGUUACAUUUUCCCAACGGAGGACCAACAAUGUCCAAUUAGGUAUCAUUAUUUUUUUAUUUUUUUUUUAAAUCAGAUUUGGGACAAAUUGAUUACAUUUGUUGUUUAUUGGCUUUGGAAAAUGUUGAUGUUUAAACACUUAUUUUAGCAUACAAAGUUUAUUUGAGAUUUUCUUUAUUGGAAAAAAAUGUAUAAUGUCAUUUUAGAGACAACAAGAACCAGAACCAGGAAAAGGAAAAGGGAAAGGAAAGGGAAAAUAAAGAGUUCAAGAUUCGUUAAAACGUAUAGACAUCCAGAUUUCAAAACAGGCUCUCAACAAAUGGUUUACUUUUAUAAAUUAUUAUUUGGAUGGAGAGUUGUCUCAUUGGCACUCACACCACAUCUUCCUAUAUCUAUGAUUAUGUUACAGUGAAUAUGUAUAAUUAAGGAAUUUAUAUAAUCCCGGAUAUUUGUUUAUGAAUAGUGAGUAUAUAUAAUCACCAAAAUUUCAGGAAUCCUGCGUAAUCAAUAGAAAAUGUCAAGG